GAGCCAGCCCGAAUCUUGAUCUCUUCUUGAUCUGGAUUGGCCUUAUAAGGACCAAAAAACGUGGAAUGGUUGAAUAAACAAAACGUGGACUUGUUUAACAGGACCAUAUGUUCAUGUGCUUGGAACAGUUAUCUGCGGUUUUGUUCAACUCCAAUCAGUGAAUCUUCUAAAAUAAACAUUGGGUUUCUCUUACAAAAUCCCAAAAAUAAGACCAAAAAAAAAAACCCAUUCAAGAAAAUCUCAGUUCCACUUCAUCUCGAUUCUAUUCUUGCUUCUCGAUUUGCUGUUGAAUGAUGGAUUUCAGUAGUAUGGAUCGUGGACAGAUUACCCUAUUGGGGUGUGGAUUCUGUGUGCUGCUUUCACUGCAUUUUACAGUGCAGCUUUUAUCUCAACAUCUUUUUUACUGGAAAAACCCAAAGGAACAGAAGGCCAUAAUAAUUAUCAUCCUUAUGGCUCCCAUAUAUGCUGCUGAUUCCUACAUGGGUUUGUUGGAUAUCCAGGGGAGUAAAGCAUUCUUCACGUUUUUGGAUUCAGUUAAGGAAUGCUAUGAGGCUUUGGUAAUUGCCAAGUUCUUGGCAUUGAUGUAUAGUUACCUGAAAAUAUCCAUUAGCAAAAAUAUUGUGCCAGAUGAGGUCAAAGGAAGAGAAAUUCACCAUUCCUUCCCAAUGACACUUUUUGUGCCUCGCACAGCGCGGCUAGACCACCGUAAUUUAGUGCUCCUCAAACACUGGACAUGGCAAUUUGUCAUCAUUCGCCCAAUAUGUUCCAUCUUGAUGAUAACACUGCAAAUGCUUGGGAUUUACCCUAGUUGGUUGAGUUGGACAUUCACCAUUAUCCUUAACAUUUCGGUUUCAGUGGCUCUGUACUCUCUGGUGUUGUUUUACCAUGUGUUUGCAAAAGAAUUGGCACCACACAAGCCUCUUGCAAAGUUCCUAUGCAUCAAGGGGGUUGUCUUCUUUUGCUUUUGGCAGGGCAUAGUGCUUGAUAUGCUUGUUUCGGCGGGCAUCAUUCGGUCUCAUCAUUUUUGGUUGGAUGUGGAGCACAUUGAAGAAGCUUUUCAGAAUGUCUUGGUAAUUUUGGAGAUGGUUGUCUUCUCUGUUCUCCAACAGUAUGCAUACCAUGUUGCACCUUAUAGUGGAGAAGUGGAAACAAAAAUGCUGAAAAAAAGAGAGUGAUUUGUCCAGAAUUCCAGACCAUGGAGGGGACAAGGCACAACACAUGCUAGGAAAUGCAUUUCCAUAGGUUUUCUAGCUGAGGUUGUUGGCACCAAUGUAAAAGCAGCUGGAAAAAGGAUACUAUUGGUCUUCAAGAAGGACUUGAAUGCUACUGUUUCCAUAGGAUUUUCCGGUGAUAUUAGUUUUAUGGAGGGAUAAUUAAACUAUUGGUACAUCAAUUUUCACUUUUUUCUCAAUCGAGUAUCUGAGUUUUAAUUAUUUUCAUUCUAGUACAUCAACUUUUUUAAGACUUCCAAUCCAUCAAAAUUCUGUUAA
Molecule: RNA transcript, 1490 nt
Organism: Populus nigra (black poplar)
Lineage: Eukaryota; Viridiplantae; Streptophyta; Magnoliopsida; Malpighiales; Salicaceae
Exons: 6
Source: RefSeq, a predicted model, not a curated record